CAGCCAUGCAAUGAGCACAAAGCGAACUAUUCUUUCGCCUUUUACUAAAGAAUACCGUGUGCUCGUUGCUUUCAAAUGGCAUACUCCUAUUUUUGGAGAGUUCUUUUCCUUGUGAAAAGAC
This 121-nucleotide small nuclear RNA is filed under the name Helianthus annuus (common sunflower). RNAcentral describes it as "U5 spliceosomal RNA". It matches the Rfam family "U5 spliceosomal RNA". Rfam says of the family: U5 RNA is a component of both types of known spliceosome. The precise function of this molecule is unknown, though it is known that the 5' loop is required for splice site selection and p220 binding, and that both the 3' stem-loop and the Sm site are important for Sm protein binding and cap methylation. Lineage: Eukaryota; Viridiplantae; Streptophyta; Magnoliopsida; Asterales; Asteraceae. The record is from RNAcentral.